RNAcentral lists this ribosomal RNA (519 nucleotides) under uncultured bacterium. Its description in RNAcentral is "bacterial SSU rRNA". It matches the Rfam family "Bacterial small subunit ribosomal RNA", at positions 372 to 884 of the family's 1533-position model. The record is from RNAcentral.
UGGGCGCAAGCCUGAUCCAGCAAUGCCGCGUGCAGGAUGAAGGCCUUCGGGUUGUAAACUGCUUUUGUACGGAACGAAAAGCUUUGGGCUAAUACCCUGGAGUCAUGACGGUACCGUAAGAAUAAGCACCGGCUAACUACGUGCCAGCAGCCGCGGUAAUACGUAGGGUGCAAGCGUUAAUCGGAAUUACUGGGCGUAAAGCGUGCGCAGGCGGUUUUGUAAGACAGGCGUGAAAUCCCCGGGCUCAACCUGGGAAUGGCGCUUGUGACUGCAAAGCUGGAGUGCGGCAGAGGGGGAUGGAAUUCCGCGUGUAGCAGUGAAAUGCGUAGAUAUGCGGAGGAACACCGAUGGCGAAGGCAAUCCCCUGGGCCUGUACUGACGCUCAUGCACGAAAGCGUGGGGAGCAAACAGGAUUAGAUACCCUGGUAGUCCACGCCCUAAACGAUGUCAACUGGUUGUUGGGUCUUAACUGACUCAGUAACGAAGCUAACGCGUGAAGUUGACCGCCUGGGGAGUACG